This 285-nucleotide unclassified non-coding RNA is filed under the name Hevea brasiliensis (rubber tree). Lineage: Eukaryota; Viridiplantae; Streptophyta; Magnoliopsida; Malpighiales; Euphorbiaceae. The record is from RNAcentral.
UUGAAUUAUCUAGCACAAAGGGGAAAAGACAAAUAAUAAGAAGCAAAUGAGUCCAACUAUCACCAAGAAUUUAAGAUGUACGAGAACCCUAAACUGUAUAAGAUGCAGCAUAAAAAUUUCCAACAAAAAUGACGGGGCUAUUUCAAAAAAAAAGAAUCACUACACCAUAACAUUUCUAAAAGGAAUGCCUUCAUUCCAUAUAUUAAUCGAUUGCAAAAAAGGCUAAAAAAAGGCACGCAAAAGGAUCAUUAAGUAAUCGUGUACCUGUGGAAUAACUAUUGCAAG